Epinephelus fuscoguttatus (brown-marbled grouper) is the source of this 440-nucleotide long non-coding RNA. RefSeq lists it as uncharacterized. Lineage: Eukaryota; Metazoa; Chordata; Actinopteri; Perciformes; Serranidae. The record is from RefSeq and is a predicted model, not a curated record. The transcript is spliced from 3 exons.
GUGUGUGUGUGUGUGUGUGUGUGUGUGUGUGUGUGUGUGUGCGUGUUAUUGUCCCACAUCUAUCUAUCUCUUCUUAACUCACACACUGCCUCUGAAGAUGUCCUCUUGAAACGGUUAUCUUACAGGGCUAAAGUUUGGCAUCCUGGCCAUCACCAUCUUGGAUUUUUGGAGCCGGAGAUGACCAUAUGUGGACGAGAGGAUGGAGCUGUUGUGGAGAAAAGGUACAAUGGGAGCUAUUUGAAGAAAGGCUGACGUCUGAGUGCUGUGCUAAAGUCUGGUUUAUUACCACAGUGGACGAUCACUGCAGGUCAGAGCCUGCAGGCUGCAAUUCACAUCCACAGGCCUGAUGCUCUGUCUGCAGAGGAAUCAGACCUGUGAUGCUUCAAACCUGCCACCUGUUGCUAAAAGGCGCUUACAAAAGCUAAUGUAUUUUAGAAGCA